CCCUUAGAUGUCCUGGGCCGCACGCGCGCUACACUGAACGGAUCAGCGCGUUUUCCCUUCCCGAGAGGGACGGGUAACCUGCUGAACCCCGUUCGUGGUAGGGAUCGGGGCUUGCAAUUAUUCCCCGUGAACCAGGAAUGCCCAGUAAGUGCAAGUCAUAAGCUUGCGUUGAUUACGUCCCUGCCCUUUGUACACACCGCCCGUCGCACCUACCGAUUGAAUGGUCCGGUGAAGCCUCCGGAUUGGCGCGCACCUCGGUGCCGCCGAGAAGUUGGCUAAACCUUACCAUUUAGAGGAAGGUGAANUCGUAACA
RNAcentral lists this ribosomal RNA (313 nucleotides) under uncultured eukaryote. Its description in RNAcentral is "partial 18S ribosomal RNA". It matches the Rfam family "Eukaryotic small subunit ribosomal RNA", at positions 1470 to 1796 of the family's 1831-position model. The record is from RNAcentral.